UACGAAGGGUGCGAGCGUUAUUCGGAAUCACUGGGCGUAAAGGGUGCGUAGACGGUAUGUUAAGUUUGUUGUUAAAGGCUCCGGCCUAACUGGAGUAUUGCGAUGAAAACUGGCAUGCUAGAGGGUGAGAGAGAGAAGUGGAAUUCCUGGAGUAGCGGUAAAAUGCAUGGAUCUCAGGAGGAACACCAAUGGCGAAGGCAGCUUCUUGGCUCAUACCUGACGUUGAGGCACGAAAGCGUGGGGAGCAAACAGG
This 253-nucleotide ribosomal RNA is filed under the name uncultured bacterium. RNAcentral's name for it is "partial 16S ribosomal RNA". It matches the Rfam family "Bacterial small subunit ribosomal RNA", at positions 524 to 776 of the family's 1533-position model. The record is from RNAcentral.